Molecule: ribosomal RNA, 510 nt
Filed under: uncultured bacterium
Lineage: Bacteria
Description: partial 16S ribosomal RNA
Rfam family: Bacterial small subunit ribosomal RNA
Source: RNAcentral
GACGAACGCUGGCGGCGUGCUUAACACAUGCAAGUCGAACGAAGAGCGAUGGAAGCUUGCUUCUAUCAAUCUUAGUGGCGAACGGGUGAGUAACGCGUAAUCAACCUGCCCUUCAGAGGGGGACAACAGUUGGAAACGACUGCUAAUACCGCAUACGAUCUAAUCUCGGCAUCGAGGAUAGAUGAAAGGUGGCCGCUACAUGUAAGCUAUCACUGAAGGAGGGGAUUGCGUCUGAUUAGCUAGUUGGAGGGGUAACGGCCCACCAAGGCGAUGAUCAGUAGCCGGUCUGAGAGGAUGAACGGCCACAUUGGGACUGAGACACGGCCCAGACUCCUACGGGAGGCAGCAGUGGGGAAACUUCCGCAAUGGACGAAAGUCUGACGGAGCAACGCCGCGUGAGUGAUGACGGCCUUCGGGUUGUAAAGCUCUGUUAAUCGGGACGAAAGGCCUUCUUGCGAAUAGUGAGAAGGAUUGACGGUACCGGAAUAGAAAGCCACGGCUAACUACGUG